This is a long non-coding RNA of Astatotilapia calliptera (eastern happy), 661 nucleotides long. The record is from Ensembl. NCBI's taxonomy places the organism in Eukaryota, Metazoa, Chordata, Actinopteri, Cichliformes, Cichlidae.
GGGGAAAGAAGAAAGGAGGGACACCAGGGAAGGAAAAUUAGAGAAUGAGAAGAGGAAGAGGAGGAGAAAUGUGUUUUGAUAAAGGCUGCAGAGGAGGAAAAGUGGGUAGAAGACAAGGAGGAGGAGGGAGGAGAGUACAGAAACAGGAGCCAGAACCAAUUUCAGAUUUUAAACCAUCAGCAUUCAGGCUGCUCUUCACUCCUCAUUUAUUAUAUCGGUUCCUGUCAUUUGUCCCUGGGAGUGGAGUUGGCCAGCUCAUCACCUGUUGUCAAUCUCCGGGGCUCCACCUAGAGGGUUUUUAAGCCAGCACGGCCUGCCACUCCUCGCCAGUUUGUCCUGCUACCAUCUGUGAUUCUCCACCCAUCGCACUCACCAGUAGUGCUGUUUUUGGUCUCCAUCCUGUCCUCCCAUCUGCUCGGAGCCCGAGGAUUAUAUACUCCACUUCUCCUCAGCCUGCCCUUCAGUCUGUAUUCUCCAUCUCUUCGAAAUCUGGACCGGACUCUCCACUCUUGACCCUCUUUGGAAUAUACCCCUGGCAGCCUUUUCCCCGUUAAAUGACUAGGGUCGCCAAGUAAGCCCAAGACUAUUCACUGGCACUCCGUACCUUUGUCCCUUACUCGUUUGUUUCCCAUUCAGUAACAUUUCUCCCCUGUGUUUACAG